UGGGGACACUAAGAGACAUGGGGACACUGGGCGACUUUGAGACCAGUGUCCCCAUGUCUCUUAGUGUCCCCAUGUCCC
Molecule: non-coding RNA, 78 nt
Organism: Pelobates cultripes (western spadefoot toad)
Lineage: Eukaryota; Metazoa; Chordata; Amphibia; Anura; Pelobatidae
Source: the annotation of a GenBank genome assembly